Molecule: ribosomal RNA, 273 nt
Filed under: uncultured bacterium
Lineage: Bacteria
Description: partial 16S ribosomal RNA
Rfam family: Bacterial small subunit ribosomal RNA
Source: RNAcentral
UACGAAGGUGGCAAGCGUUGUUCGGAUUUACUGGGCGUACAGGGAGCGUAGGCGGUUGGGUAAGCCCUCCGUGAAAUCUCCGGGCCUAACCCGGAAAGUGCGGAGGGGACUGCUCGGCUAGAGGAUGGGAGAGGAGCGCGGAAUUCCCGGUGUAGCGGUGAAAUGCGUAGAGAUCGGGAGGAAGGCCGGUGGCGAAGGCGGCGCUCUGGAACAUUUCUGACGCUGAGGCUCGAAAGCGUGGGGAGCAAACAGGAUUAGAAACCCCCGUAGUCC